Molecule: long non-coding RNA, 288 nt
Organism: Entelurus aequoreus (snake pipefish)
Lineage: Eukaryota; Metazoa; Chordata; Actinopteri; Syngnathiformes; Syngnathidae
Exons: 3
Source: RefSeq, a predicted model, not a curated record
AUUCUCACUACUUUGCUCUCAAGAAAUUGCAGUACAAUCUGAAUUACUUUUUGGAUGAACUGGGUGUCUACCAGUGUUACACCACUAGUUCUCAGUAGUAAUAACACUCCAUUUCAUGUCUCUCAGUAGAUGAAGCCAGCUGCAACCCGUAGAGUGGAGUCGUGGAGAGAGCCCCUCGCCCCUCAGCUAAACCAGAGUAAAUGAAGCCAGCACCAACCUGUGGAGUGGAGUCCAGGAGAGAGCAUGCCGCCCCUCAGCUAAACCAGAUCAGAUAAAGCCAACUGGAAC